GAUGAACGCUGGCGGCGUGCCUAAUACAUGCAAGUAGAGCGCUGAAGCUUGGUGCUUGCACCGAGCGGAGGAGUUGCGAACGGGUGAGUAACGCGUAGGUAACCUGCCUCUUAGCGGGGGAUAACUAUUGGAAACGAUAGCUAAUACCGCAUAAAAGUCGACAUUGCAUGAUGUUGACUUGAAAGGUGCAACUGCAUCACUAAGAGAUGGACCUGCGUUGUAUUAGCUAGUUGGUGAGGUAACGGCUCACCAAGGCGACGAUACAUAGCCGACCUGAGAGGGUGAUCGGCCACACUGGGACUGAGACACGGCCCAGACUCCUAUGGGAGGCAGCAGUAGGGAAUCUUCGGCAAUGGACGGAAGUCUGACCGAGCAACGCCGCGUGAGUGAAGAAGGUUUUCGGAUCGUAAAGCUCUGUUGUAAGAGAAGAACGAGUGUGAGAGUGGAAAGUUCACACUGUGACGGUAACUUACCAGAAAGG
Molecule: ribosomal RNA, 481 nt
Filed under: uncultured bacterium
Lineage: Bacteria
Description: bacterial SSU rRNA
Rfam family: Bacterial small subunit ribosomal RNA
Source: RNAcentral